GUUGGCUUUAUCGACCCUGCACACACCGGUAUAAUUGGGUGUGGAAAUCCCACUGAACGGGCACGGUCUAUGUCAAAUCGGUACAUGUUAGGGAAACCGGGGCAGAUAUUUUUGGUUCCAUAUAACUCAGGUGCUCAUUGGAUGUUGUCGGUGGUGAACCCGGAUGAAGAAGUCGUGCAUUUCAUGGAUCCGCUAAAAAGGCGACUUUGUGCUGGUGAAUGGAAAGCUAUUGUCGACAACUCCAUUAAAAUCUUCAAUGCCCAAAAGGGUAGGAAAGGAAAGAAAAUAAUCCAAUGGAAGAAUCUUGCUG
This is a long non-coding RNA of Rosa rugosa (rugosa rose), 310 nucleotides long. RefSeq lists it as uncharacterized. The transcript has 3 exons. The record is from RefSeq and is a predicted model, not a curated record. NCBI's taxonomy places the organism in Eukaryota, Viridiplantae, Streptophyta, Magnoliopsida, Rosales, Rosaceae.